Molecule: long non-coding RNA, 1401 nt
Organism: Brassica napus (rape)
Lineage: Eukaryota; Viridiplantae; Streptophyta; Magnoliopsida; Brassicales; Brassicaceae
Exons: 2
Source: RefSeq, a predicted model, not a curated record
GCAACCUGUCAACUAAUGUCGUUAUUAUUUUAUAAAAGUAUUAUUUUGUGAAACUUAAGAACUACUGAUGCUGAUUUUCUAACCUCCGGUUCCACCAAUAAUCAGGUCUCCCUGCUCAAAGUUGUCCUGCACACUGUUGAUUGUAUGUUCUGGAAAGGAACCUCUUUUGUCAAUCAAACCUCGUGAAAGCUUUCAAACCAUUGGAUCCAAUAAUAGACUUUAGACGGAACUGAUAACUCAUAAGAGGUUGUUAAGGUUUUCUUACUUCAAAAAACGAAGAUAAUUGUUCACCGUCUGCAGUUGUGGCGAAGUAAUUCAAUGGUGCUCCAAGGGAAACAAUUCUCUUCUUCUUACUUGUAAUUUUUUCUCCAAGUAUCUGUCUGGAGAGAAAGAAGAAGAAGAAGAAACUGAAGUACAUAUCUCCGAUGAUUCUUCGUCUGAGGAAGAAGACGAUCUAAUAAAUCCUGUCAUCAUUCCGCUCGCAACAAAACCCAAAAAACUCCAGGACGACAUGAUCUUGCCUCUGGUUCAGAGUCAAGUCCUUCCAAUUGGAAAAUGGAUUGGAGUGGCAUUUUGAUCAUAUAGAUUACUAUUUAGACAUAUUUAGAUUUCAUUUCCAUUCAUAUGUUCUUAUUAGGUGUUGAAGUGUCCUCAUGGAGUUCAUGGAAACAAAAUAGGUCAAGAUUGAUUAGUUGAGUUGAUACAAACUCAAGUGUUAGAGUGGGGUACCAAAGCUACACGAGAAGGCCGAUGUGAACCUGGUGCAAUCUAGAGCGAGCGCUUGGAGUGGGACACCAAGCUCACUCCAUAGCUCCCAUUCUCGAAGGUCAUUUGAAGAAUCUGAAGGUAACACAAAGGACGAGAGCGAGCAUUACCCAGCGAGGUGAAGUGGUCGCUCUACAUUGGCGCACACUAGAGCGGAUGUCGAUAGCGACUGGGAGAGACCGCAGGAGGCAUGCCACAUUCGAACCUAAGCCUUAUGAAGUCUCAAGUGUUGGAGCGAGUAUAUGGAUGCAGGGUAUUCUUGUCACUCUACAUUGAGCCCACACUGGAGCGAGCUGAGGCAGCGACCAAACUGGCCCACUCCGAGGCUUGAUCACAUUCACGUCGAAGCCAAAGUAUCAGAGGGGCCAUUUGGAGCGAGAGCACCAACCAGCUCCACUUCAAUCACAUCAUGGAGCGGGUAUAUGGAGAGAGGUCACAAGGCCGCUCUCGGGCUUUACCUUGGUCAGUUUUAUCAUUUUGUGGGCUUUCGUAGACUUGUUAAUUGGGCCCACUCGUCUAAGAAGUUAUAUAAAUACAUUUUAGACCUAAAAGUUGGACUUAUCUUGUUUUCUCCCAAAAUACUUCCCUGCUUUGGUGAAACCUAGAAUAUUUAUCAAUCUAAUCUUUCUUUCUUGA